RNAcentral lists this ribosomal RNA (614 nucleotides) under uncultured bacterium. RNAcentral describes it as "bacterial SSU rRNA". It matches the Rfam family "Bacterial small subunit ribosomal RNA", at positions 338 to 954 of the family's 1533-position model. The record is from RNAcentral.
CCUACGGGAGGCAGCAGUAAGGAAUAUUGGACAAUGCUCGCAAGAGUGAUCCAGCCAUGCCGCGUGCAGGAAGAAUGCCCUAUGGGUAGUAAACUGCUUUUGAACUAGAGAAAACCCCAGUACGUGUACUGGGCUGAUAGUAUAGUUAGAAUAAGCAUCGGCUAACUUCGUGCCAGCAGCCGCGGUAAGGCGAAGGAUGCAAGCGUUAUCCGGAUUCAUUGGGUUUAAAGGGAGCGUAGGUGGACUGAUAAGUCAGUGGUGAAAUCUCCGAGCUUAACUCGGAAAUUGCCAUUGAUACUGUUGGUCUUGAGUACAGUUGCUGUGGGCGGAAUAUGACAUGUAGUGGUGAAAUACAUAGAGAUGUCAUAGAACACCGAUUGCGAAGGCAGCUCACAAAGCUGUAACUGACACUGAGGCUCGAAAGUGCGGGGAUCAAACAGGAUUAGAUACCCUGGUAGUCCGCACCGUAAACGAUGAUUACUCGCUGCUAGGGGGCAACCUUUAGUGGCUUAGCGAAAGCGAUAAGUAAUCCACCUGGGGAGUACGCCGGCAACGGUUGAAACUCAAAGGAAUUGACGGCGNGAGAGNGCGACGGACGACGACGAGGGAGGAGG